RNAcentral lists this ribosomal RNA (253 nucleotides) under uncultured bacterium. RNAcentral's name for it is "partial 16S ribosomal RNA". It matches the Rfam family "Bacterial small subunit ribosomal RNA", at positions 524 to 776 of the family's 1533-position model. The record is from RNAcentral.
UACAGAGGGGGCAAGCGUUGUUCGGAAUUACUGGGCGUAAAGGGCGCGUAGGCGGCCUUCUAAGUCAUGCGUGAAAUCCCCGGGCUCAACCCGGGAACUGCGUCUGAUACUGGAAGGCUUGAAUCCGGGAGAGGGAUGCGGAAUUCCAGGUGUAGCGGUGAAAUGCGUAGAUAUCUGGAGGAACACCGGUGGCGGAGGCGGCAUCCUGGACCGGCAUUGACGCUGAGGCGCGAAAGCCAGGGGAGCAAACGGG